GAUGAACGCUAGCGGCAGGCCUAAUACAUGCAAGUCGAGGGGUAGUGGAGCUUGCUCCACGAGACCGGCGCACGGGUGCGUAACGCGUAUGCAACCUACCUUCACCUGGGGGAUAGCCCGGAGAAAUCCGGAUUAACACCGCAUAAAACCACAGUACCGCAUGGUACAAUGGUCAAACAUUCAUGGGGCGGAGAUGGGCAUGCGUGCCAUUAGUUAGUUGGCGGGGUAACGGCCCACCAAGACCGCGAUGGCUAGGGGAUCUGAGAGGAUCGGCCCCCACACUGGUACUGAGACACGGACCAGACUCCUACGGGAGGCAGCAGUAAGGAAUAUUGGUCAAUGGGCGCAAGCCUGAACCAGCCAUGCCGCGUGCAGGAAGACCGGCCCUCUGGGUUGUAAACUGUACUUUUUAGUUACGGGAAUAAACCACUAUUACGUGUAGUGUGCUGAAUGU
This 454-nucleotide ribosomal RNA is filed under the name uncultured bacterium. Its description in RNAcentral is "bacterial SSU rRNA". It matches the Rfam family "Bacterial small subunit ribosomal RNA", at positions 28 to 476 of the family's 1533-position model. The record is from RNAcentral.